This is a long non-coding RNA of Acanthochromis polyacanthus (spiny chromis), 1120 nucleotides long. RefSeq lists it as uncharacterized. The record is from RefSeq and is a predicted model, not a curated record. NCBI's taxonomy places the organism in Eukaryota, Metazoa, Chordata, Actinopteri, Pomacentridae. The transcript is spliced from 3 exons.
CUUUCUAUAUUAUGAAUCUUGCUUAGCUUUGUUUUGUCUUCACAGCUCAUUCCUGCUUGGUUCAGCCUCAGUGCUCUCAUUAUCUUCAUCUGAAGCCUCAACAGACAGCUGACACACAAACAUAGAAACAAGCUGCACACCAGUUUUCCUGCUCUGAGUAGAAACAGCAGAGGUAACACCAGACUGCUGGGAAGAUUAAACCAGAUACCAGUUGUCAUUAUCACACAUUCAGCAUCACUUUUCAACUCAUAGAGUACAGACCAAACCAGAUUCCAUGCAAACCUCAAUGCCAGCACUCCCAGUAUGGCCAUAAUGGUGUAGAAUGCCCUCUGCUUUGAUUGGUCAACCCUCUCCCUGCCCCCACCCUGUUCCCCUGGACCUGGACGAAUCAGAACACAGAGAACGGAAACACUGCAGAAGGAGAUGAUGACUAAAGAUGAUAUCAAGAAUGACCAAUUCACAACGGCUCCGGUAGGUGAUGGGAUGAACCACAGCCAGGUAGCGCUCCACACAGGUCAGGACGUGGAAGAACGUCCCUCCCAACCAGGUAAAAGAAAAAAGACUGGACCCCACAAAUACUAUGAUUACAUGAUCACUGUAGGCACCACAACAGGAGAGAACAGACCCAAAGACACCAAUCAGCUCCAUGGUGACCAUGUUGUAGGUGAAGCUGUCAGAGUGACUCAUGGUUGCUGCUGAGGAGGUGGAGCGCUUUAGUCUCCAUUGUUGGAGACCAUAGUAGAUGAUGAAGAUAUAGAGAGGGAGGAGGAGGAGGAUGUUGGUGAUGAAGUAUGAGGUGAAGAUGAAGGAGCUCGGUCUGGAGAUGAGACAAUACAUGUCUAAAGAGUGGUCAGAGCUAAUGAAGGAAAUGCUUGGAUGAAGAAGGGAGCCAUUGGAGGAUGAGGAGUUUACAGACAUGUCUGGAAGAGAAGAAGACAUGAGAAUCAAAUGGAUUAAAUUAAUAAUAAUCAUAACUCUGUCUUAGAAGAAGGAUUCCUUUUCUGUUGCGGCAUCAGCAGCAACGUUGACCUUCAUGAAAUUAUUGUACAUUUUCACCUCCUUCUCUGCUUGCACAACAGAACUAUAUUCUUUAAACAAUCCUGGCUCUGUAGAGUGUACA